Molecule: long non-coding RNA, 1421 nt
Filed under: Ricinus communis (castor bean)
Lineage: Eukaryota; Viridiplantae; Streptophyta; Magnoliopsida; Malpighiales; Euphorbiaceae
Description: long non-coding RNA (RCOM_LNC001280)
Source: RNAcentral
UUACUUUUUCUCAUUAUAUUUUUACUUUUUUUUUUUUUUUUGAGAAAGUCAAUUUUCUAGCUCCUUAGUCUUCUUCACCGGUUAUGAAGCAUAUUCAAGGGCUGCAACAUUCCAGAUCUAAAUUUUAAGGGAUGGAGAAGCUAAUUCUGGCCUCAAAUCCGCCAAAAAUUCCACAAGUAUGCUGUCCAAGAAUGGCACCAAGAGGCGAUGACUUCUUCUCUUUGCUUCGCCGAUACCAGGUCGUUUCCAAUGAGACUGGUUUACACAUUGAAUGGCAACCGGAAAAGAAGAACAGAAGGGAGAGGGUGUGACGGUGAGAAAGAGAGCUGAUCAGGGAGAGAAAAGGCGAGUAGAGACUAAAAUAUAAUUUUUGCAAUAGUCUAAAUUACUUUUGGACAACUGAGAAGAUGUUGAAGUUGUUGUACUAAGAGCUACUCAAAUGGGUAAGAUAGUUGAGAAGGUUUCUCAAGAGAAGUUUUGGGUCAGCUCUUCUCUACUGCUGCCACCACUGCCCUGAGUUUCAAAUGGAUAAUGAUAAUUAAGAAAUUACAACUUAAAACUUCUGAUAUUUUUUGGGUUCUAUUUAGCUAUGAUUAAACUUUGGCUUAGAGGGUUUUGUUUUAUUUUAUUGAAGUUUUUAAUUUCCUUUUUGAAGUCUAAAUUGUAAGAUGAUAAAUGAUUGCAGAGCUAAAAAAGAGGUAGAGGGGACGAAGGUGAGAUUCCUGCUAUCUUUAAAGCCAUCUUGAAGAGAAAAUUAGUUGGAAUUUCUGUUUUUAAUUCUAAUUGUAAUUUUGAUGGUGAUAUAGAUUUAUGAGAUGCAAAGAAUUGUCUUUUUAGUCAAGAGGGAAAUAAAUAUCAUUAGUUAUAAGUGAAAAUGAUGAGACUGUAUUUUCAAGUAACUACGGUUGUAUGUAUCAGAAAUUGACUUCUUGUGUCUUUUAACAUAUAGAGUAGCAUUAAGGUUGUUUACUGAUGAUCAUUAAUAGCUUUGGCCUUUGGAUGCCUGUUUCGUUUUCUUUUUUAUUUUUUUGCUAUGUUUUUCUUUAGUCAGAUUGUAACUUUAAUUACAUAUUUGUUGACGCCACAAUGAAGCUAAGAAAAGCAGAGGUAAUGAUCUCAAAUAAUUUGUUAAGCAGUGGAUGUGAAGUUUAACAAUGUGCUGCUAUUGCAGGGAUCUAUGAUCUUGCAUAUACUUAUAAUCAACUGAUGAGAAGCAUUCAUGAAACCAUGAUCUUACAUGUAUUAUAAUCAACUGAUGGGAAGCAUUCAUGAAGCUCUUGGCAGGGACAUGGAGAGUGAGGUGUGUGCAUGUGGUGCGUAAAGCUAAUAGCUUUGCCUAUUGGUUUGCAAACAAAACUUUAAGUUGUAAUAUUGGAGUUCACGUGACUGAUAUUGAUUAGUUUUUUUUUCUUUGCUUCGAC